AGCUGCAGCUCAGCGAUAACGGGUAGCAAACAGUUUAAUCAGAGGUCGCUAGCGCACAGAAGUGCUGCUUUUAACACUUAGAGACCAAAAACGUCCCAGGUCCGGCUAAAAGUAAUGAGGUAGAAGGUGGGACAGCUGUAACUACUCGUAUUAAGAACAGACUGGCGCCGUCACAUUGAAAAUGGAGCAGGAGUUUGAGGACAUAGACUCUGAGGGCCGGUGGCACAAACUGUACUUAGAAAUCAGGAACCAGUCCCACGAGUGCUCCUACAAAGUGGCAAAGUAUCCAGAGAAUAGAAACCGAAACAGAUACAGGGACGUCAGUCCGUUUGACCACAGUCGGGUGAAGUUGAAGAGCACAGAUAAUGACUACAUCAAUGCAAGUCUGGUGAUGAUGGAAGAAGCCCAGAGAAGUUACAUACUAACUCAGGGGCCCCUCAGAAACACCUGUGGCCACUUCUGGCUCAUGAUCUGGGAGCAGAGGACCAAGGCAAUCAUCAUGCUCAACAGGGUCAUAGAGAAGGGUUCAGAAAAAUGUGCCCAGUACUGGCCCAUGUCUGAGGAGAGGGAGAUGGCCUUCAGGGACACACGCUUCUUGGUCACACUGUUGUCAGAAGACACCAAGUCGUACUACACAACCAGAGUGUUGGAGCUUCAGAAUAUGAAUACGGGCGAGAAAAGAGAGAUCUACCACUUUCAUUACACCACUUGGCCUGACUUUGGUGUCCCAGAAUCCCCUGCAUCCUUCCUAAACUUCCUCUAUAAGGUGAGGGAGUCGAAGGCGCUGAGUGUUGACCACGGGCCAGCUGUCGUGCACUGCAGCGCUGGGAUUGGACGCUCCGGGACGUUUUCGUUAGUCGACACUUGUCUCGUCCUGAUGGAUAAGAGGAAAGACCCGUCCUCUGUGGACAUCAAGAACAUCCUGUUGAACAUGAGGAAGUACCGCAUGGGUCUGAUCCAAACUCCUGACCAGCUACGAUUCUCUUACCUGGCAGUUCUAGAAGGAGCCAAGUACAUCAUGGGAGACCCCUCUGUGCAGACCCGGUGGCGGGAGUUGUCCAUGGAGGACCAGGAGCCCUUGUCCGAGUCUCGACCUGCGACUCAGCCGCAGACUCGAUGUCCGACUGAAUGGUGCAACGGCAGCCAACGAGCGAAUCAGCUGGAGGGAGGGUCAGACUACAGGCAGGACGGCAAAGUACCAGCACCGUCUCUCAACAAGGAACAGGAAGUGGAGGGCAGCACAACACACAAGAGACGCAGAGAAGACAGCAUCUCCAAAUCAGGAACAGGAAAAACAUCCCAAAGCAAGCCCAGGACGAGUGACUCAGACAAGAAGAGAAAAAGAAAAGGAAAAUGCUGGGAAUCGCUGACGGCACCAUUACCAAAAUGAAGCCGACUUCAGCAGAGAUAGACGAUGAGUUAAGCACGAGUUUGGGCUGCAUUUGCUGCACAUGACAACAGCUGACCUGUCCAGUGGGGGGCACUUUAUCUUUACCCCCUCCUGAGACAGGAACACCCACCACCACCACCACCGUGAAGAGCACAUUUAAUGGAGGAAGUUUACCCACAGCUUUAAAAAAAAAUAUCGUUGAGGGUGAAAACCAGCGACAGCUAACUUCCUCCACCUGUGGCCACACGACUACAGCUCUGGCAGAAAAGCCAACAUCGGCAGGGAACCUCCACUGUCCAAAUCCAAACCACUUUUCCUCACCUCCACCCCUCUUUAUUUUUCCAACUCUUUGUCUUAAAUUCUGUUUCCAUCAGCUCAACAGCAUUAUUAAAGCAGCGCACAAACAUUAUACAUAUUUUUAUGAACUGAAGUCCACAUUAGACAGGUACUUUUGAAAACAGAGGUUUUCUUGGUCCAGUUUUUGGUUCUCAAAAUUCUUCUCUUGUCUUAAAUCCCAAACCUGCGAAUGCUGUGUGUCACAGAUGCAAAGUUCUAGUCAGCUUCCACAGGCAUUUUUACAGUGCAUAACAGGUGAUGGAAAAAACAACAACAUAGCAUUGCAGUCUUCUUAAUCCUGUGAAACGGCAAGUUAUUCUGUGCUUGGGGUACCCCCCUUUGGAUCAUGGGGUUGUGUUUAAGUGUUUAAGUCGUGCUGAGGUACACUAACGCCGACCAAAUACUUUAAAUGUUUUUAUUCAAAAACGUACAGUUACAGUUAGGAUCAGUAGUAAAAUUAUUCCAAUGUCGUCAUUAGAGUAAAAUGUUACAGUCCCAUGGAAAAUGCAUGAAACUCCAUUUAUUUGUUCUUGUAAACACAUUAGCCAACAUCACAUACUGAGGCUAACCAGAACAAUCAAUGCACGAUUAGAACCUUCAUGACCAAUGUUUAAAGAACAGGAUACAUUUAAAAAAAAGAAAAAGAACUUGAUGGUUUGUCAAGAGAGCUAAGUUCUGAAAGGAAGAAGAACCAAAAAAA
Cynoglossus semilaevis (tongue sole) is the source of this 2426-nucleotide RNA transcript. It is a transcript of the gene named protein tyrosine phosphatase non-receptor type 2b, with no coding region annotated. The transcript is spliced from 12 exons. The record is from RefSeq and is a predicted model, not a curated record. Lineage: Eukaryota; Metazoa; Chordata; Actinopteri; Pleuronectiformes; Cynoglossidae.